GGGGGGGGACAAGAAGACAAAGGGACAACAGCGUUUCAAUAAAGACGGUUCACGAGGCGUCGGUGUCUACGAAGAGGGUCUCUUUGGUUUCUUCACUUGAUGAGACGGUGAGAAAUGCUCCAUCUUCAAUCACUCGAUCAAACGGACCAGAAUAAAUCAAAAG
RNAcentral lists this small RNA (163 nucleotides) under Arabidopsis thaliana (thale cress). RNAcentral describes it as "ATSL202190". The record is from RNAcentral. Lineage: Eukaryota; Viridiplantae; Streptophyta; Magnoliopsida; Brassicales; Brassicaceae.